GAUGAACGCUGGCGGCGUGCUUAACACAUGCAAGUCGAACGGAAAGGCCCAAGCUUGCUUGGGUACUCGAGUGGCGAACGGGUGAGUAACACGUGGGUGAUCUGCCCUGCACUUCGGGAUAAGCCUGGGAAACUGGGUCUAAUACCGGAGAGGACCACUUCUUGGAUGUUGUGGUGGAAAGUUUUUUGGGUGUGGGAUGAGCUCGCGGCCUAUCGGCUUAUUGGUGGGGUAAUGGCCUACCAAGGCGUCGACGGGUAGCCGGCCUGUGGGGGUGUACGGCGCCAUUGGGACUGAGAUACGGCCCCGGUACCGACGGGUGGCAGAAGUGGGGAAUCUUGACCAAUGGGCGCCAGCCUGAUGCAGAGAGGCCGCGUAGGGGAUGAUGGCCUUAUGGUUGUAAACUCAUUUCGCUAGGGACGAAGCGUUUUGUGACGGUACCUGGAGAAAAAGCACCGGCUAACUACGUG
Molecule: ribosomal RNA, 467 nt
Filed under: uncultured bacterium
Lineage: Bacteria
Description: partial 16S ribosomal RNA
Rfam family: Bacterial small subunit ribosomal RNA
Source: RNAcentral